AAGCACCGAGCUGUAAAUCGCUUGAGACCUGUAUUUGGUUGUUUUGUUGGUUUUGCCAAGUAAGGUCACUUGAGGAUUUCUUGGCUCGAGGUCCCAGGUUGCGCAGACUCUGACUGCAUCGAGUUGAGAAUUUUGGUCAGAAUGUUAAAGUGGAAACCUACCCCAGGCUGUCAUGACUUUUGCAUUCUGGUAACCAACUGAUCCUACCCGGACCCAUGAUGCAUAACUCAGCUGGUCCUGUGGCGCACACCCAGAGGCCGACUCAAUGCAUGAAGACUGUUUUCCACACCCCUAUGAUUUCAUCCCCAACCAAGCAGCAGCAUCCAUUCCCUAGCCCCCUGCCCACCAAAUUAUCCAUAAAAACUC
Molecule: long non-coding RNA, 366 nt
Filed under: Homo sapiens (human)
Lineage: Eukaryota; Metazoa; Chordata; Mammalia; Primates; Hominidae
Description: non-protein coding lnc-CAB39L-1:6
Source: RNAcentral